RNAcentral lists this ribosomal RNA (422 nucleotides) under uncultured Flavobacteriaceae bacterium. Its description in RNAcentral is "bacterial SSU rRNA". It matches the Rfam family "Bacterial small subunit ribosomal RNA", at positions 355 to 774 of the family's 1533-position model. Lineage: Bacteria; Pseudomonadati; Bacteroidota; Flavobacteriia; Flavobacteriales; Flavobacteriaceae. The record is from RNAcentral.
UGAGGAAUAUUGGACAAUGGAGGCAACUCUGAUCCAGCCAUGCCGCGUGCAGGAAGACGGCCCUAUGGGUUGUAAACUGCUUUUAUUAGGGAAGAAACCUUUUCACGUGUGGAAAGCUGACGGUACCUAAAGAAUAAGCACCGGCUAACUCCGUGCCAGCAGCCGCGGUAAUACGGAGGGUGCAAGCGUUAUCCGGAAUCAUUGGGUUUAAAGGGUCCGUAGGCGGAUGAUUAAGUCAGGGGUGAAAUCUCACAGCUCAACUGUGAAACUGCCCUUGAUACUGGUUAUCUUGAAUUUUAGUGAAGUAGAUAGAAUAUGUAGUGUAGCGGUGAAAUGCAUAGAUAUUACAUGGAAUACCGAUUGCGAAGGCAGUCUACUAACUAACAAUUGACGCUAAUGGACGAAAGCGUGGGGAGCGAACA